RNAcentral lists this ribosomal RNA (316 nucleotides) under uncultured eukaryote. RNAcentral's name for it is "partial 18S ribosomal RNA". It matches the Rfam family "Eukaryotic small subunit ribosomal RNA", at positions 1470 to 1796 of the family's 1831-position model. The record is from RNAcentral.
CCCUUAGAUGUCCUGGGCCGCACGCGCGUUACACUGAUGCACUCAACGAGCAUAUAACCUUGGCCGAGAGGCCUGGGUAGUCUUGUUAACAUGCAUCGUGAUAGGGAUAGAUUAUUGCAAUUAUUAAUCUUGAACGAGGAAUUCCUAGUAAUCGCGGAUCAUCAAUCCGCAAUGAUUACGUCCCUGCCCUUUGUACACACCGCCCGUCGCACCUACCGAUUGAAUGGUCCGGUGAAGCCUCCGGAUUGGCGCGCACCUCGGUGCCGCCGAGAAGUUGGCUAAACCUUACCAUUUAGAGGAAGGUGAAGUCGUAACA